This 562-nucleotide antisense RNA is filed under the name Pongo abelii (Sumatran orangutan). The stretch from base 1 to 117 matches the Rfam family "TTC28 antisense RNA 1 conserved region 1", at positions 46 to 162 of the family's 162-position model. Lineage: Eukaryota; Metazoa; Chordata; Mammalia; Primates; Hominidae. The record is from RNAcentral.
GAGCGUGCGACUUCUACUGCGGCUGCGCAAGCUGGACGCGCGCAGUCUUGUCUGCUUACGAGGGCUCCUCCCUUCAUCUUUGGUCCCUCGGGGCGUCUGGGCAGCCUACGCUUUCCGACUGGAAUCAGCCAUUUUACCAAGAAAGUUGGGUUUCUUUUACUGGCAAAUAGUACUUCAAGAGCACAGUCUUAUGUGAGCAUGACCCAUCCGCCUGGCACCAGCACCUGGGGCUGCCAGGCAGCCACCCCUGCAGCUGUGUUGACAGGGCCUGGCAGAGGGACUGACCCACCUUUGGAAAAUGACACCAGCAAUAUCAGGAUGUGUCAACUGGAUUUAUGUUAAGAAAAUAGGAUUUUUGGCGUUCCUCUGUUUCCCAAAGUUUGAGACACUUUCAGACACUCUGCUUUGCGGUUGUGGCCGAUGUUACCCAUGGGUGGGACUUUUGCUUUGCUCUAGAUUUUUGUAAUACCCUGGGGAGUUUCAGGGGCCAAUGCUGAGAGAAGACCACAGGCUGACGCAUCAUGAGGUAUGUUGGUAAAACAGUCCCGGCUGGCCGAGAGGC